GACGAACGCUGGCGGCGUGCUUAACACAUGCAAGUCGAACGGAAAGGCCCUGCGUUUGCGGGGUGCUCGAUUGGCGAACGGGUGAGUAACACGUGAGUAUCCUGCCCCUGACUUUGGGGUAACUUCAGGAAAAUGGGGCUAAUACCCGAUAGGAUCUCCUGCUCCAUGGGGGGGGUAGGAAAGUUUCGGCGGUUGGGGCUGGACUCGCGGCUUAUCAGCUUGUUGGUGGGGUAGUGACUUACCAGGGCUUUGACGGGUAGCCGGCCUGAGAGGGUGACCGGCCACAUUAGGACUGAGAUACGGCCCAGACUCCUACGGGAGGCAGCAGUGGGGAAUAUUGCACAACGGGCGGAAGCCUGAUGCAGCAACGCCGCGUGCGGGAUGACGGCCUUCGGGUUAUAAACCGCUUUCGCAGGUGACGAAGAGUGAGUGACGGUAAUGGGUAAAGAAGCACCGGCUAACUACGUG
RNAcentral lists this ribosomal RNA (468 nucleotides) under uncultured bacterium. RNAcentral's name for it is "partial 16S ribosomal RNA". It matches the Rfam family "Bacterial small subunit ribosomal RNA", at positions 28 to 507 of the family's 1533-position model. The record is from RNAcentral.